Long non-coding RNA from Canis lupus familiaris (dog), 557 nucleotides. RefSeq lists it as uncharacterized. Lineage: Eukaryota; Metazoa; Chordata; Mammalia; Carnivora; Canidae. The record is from RefSeq and is a predicted model, not a curated record. The transcript is spliced from 3 exons.
CCACCAGCGGCUGUUCUAGGAAAGUGGGAAGAGCCCCUGCAGGGACCUCUCACCUGUAGCAGCAGACAGAUGGGUACAGGAAGAGCAGGGUUUGGGAAGCCCCCCCCCCUUCGCGAUGUCCCCAGACUCAGCUGGGCACAGAGGUCCCCGCUCCCACAGGCGGACAUACUUCCUCUGGGAUGGGCCCACCACCCACACCUGGUCCACUGCUGGCAGAUAUGGUUGGAGGGCAUGAGGGGUUCAGGUGGACCAUGAGCCUGGGUGUGACAAUGCCAUCGGCGUGUGGGCAGCGACAUGUGCCAAGGGAAGGAGAUGACAUGCACCGGGAGAAGUGCCUGCCACUGGUGGCCCGUGAUGCAGAAUAGCAUGCCUUGGAAAUAGCUGGCAAUGUUUUCAAAGUGCUACUUUGUACUGUAUUUUUCCUUUGGACCCUCCCCAAACCCUGAGAGGUUGAUAAGGACGGUGUCCUCCCUGUUUUAUGGAAGGUGGGAUGGACAGCCAGAGCCCAGGGACAGCGUGGCGGGGGGACCGUCCAGGAGGCAGGGACACAUGCGUGG